GACGAACGCUGGCGGCGUGCUUAACACAUGCAAGUCGAGCGGUAAGGCUCCUUCGGGAGUACACGAGCGGCGAACGGGUGAGUAACACGUGAGCAAUCUGCCCUCCACAUCGGGAUAACCCCGGGAAACUGGGGCUAAUACCGGAUUCGACCACCGAUGGCAUCAUCCGGUGGUGGAACGUUCCGGCGGUGGCGGAUGAGCUCGCGGCCUAUCAGCUUGUUGGUGAGGUAACGGCUCACCAAGGCAACGACGGGUAGCCGGCCUGAGAGGGUGACCGGCCACACUGGGACUGAGACACGGCCCAGACUCCUACGGGAGGCAGCAGUGGGGAAUAUUGGACAAUGGGCGAAAGCCUGAUCCAGCAACGCCGCGUGAGGGAUGACGGCCUUCGGGUUGUAAACCUCUUUCAGCGGGGACGAAGCGCGAGUGACGGUACCCGCAGAAGAAGCUCCGGCCAACUACGUGCCAGCAGCCGCCGUAA
This 481-nucleotide ribosomal RNA is filed under the name uncultured bacterium. Its description in RNAcentral is "partial 16S ribosomal RNA". It matches the Rfam family "Bacterial small subunit ribosomal RNA", at positions 28 to 523 of the family's 1533-position model. The record is from RNAcentral.